GAUCCUGGCUCACGAUGAACGCUAGCUACAGGCUUAACACAUGCAAGUCGAGGGGCAGCAUGGUCUUAGCUUGCUAAGGCCGAUGGCGACCGGCGCACGGGUGAGCAACACGUAUCCAACCUGCCGUCUACUCUUGGACAGCCUUCUGAAAGGAAGAUUAAUACAAGAUGGCAUCAUGAGUUCACAUGUUCACAUGAUUAAAGGUAUUCCGGUAGACGAUGGGGA
This 225-nucleotide ribosomal RNA is filed under the name uncultured bacterium. RNAcentral's name for it is "partial 16S ribosomal RNA". It matches the Rfam family "Bacterial small subunit ribosomal RNA", at positions 15 to 231 of the family's 1533-position model. The record is from RNAcentral.